GCAGGAAUUCCAUGGGGACAACCCCAACCAGCUGGUGCUGCAGCAGGCAACUCUGCCGCAGAUCCCUGGGGAGUACACAGUGACGAGCCAGGGACAGGGCUGUGCCCUGGUGCAGCUGACCCUGCGCUACAACCUGCCACCAAAAAGCGCCACGACCUUUGACCUGCGUGUGGAGACAGACCCUAAGGAGUGCACUGGGAAUGCCAGAACCCACUUCAGCCUCAUCCUUCAUGCUCGGUACAGCGGAGGACGCUCAGCCACCAACAUGGCC
Alligator sinensis (Chinese alligator) is the source of this 271-nucleotide long non-coding RNA. RefSeq lists it as uncharacterized. The transcript has 3 exons. The record is from RefSeq and is a predicted model, not a curated record. NCBI's taxonomy places the organism in Eukaryota, Metazoa, Chordata, Crocodylia, Alligatoridae.